GCCGGGUUGGCACAGUGGCGACUGCGCCUCAUUUGUAAUGAGGAAUUACCAGGGGUUCGAGUCCCUUACCCGGCUCCA
RNAcentral lists this transfer RNA (78 nucleotides) under Kiritimatiellia bacterium. RNAcentral's name for it is "Kiritimatiellae bacterium (gut metagenome) tRNA-Thr". It matches the Rfam family "tRNA". From Rfam's summary of the family: Transfer RNA (tRNA) molecules are approximately 80 nucleotides in length. Their secondary structure includes four short double-helical elements and three loops (D, anti-codon, and T loops). The record is from RNAcentral. Lineage: Bacteria; Pseudomonadati; Kiritimatiellota; Kiritimatiellia. RNAcentral also lists the same sequence under 1 other name.